CGGCGGCGGUGGCGGUGGCUCGCGAUGUGCGUGAGUUUGACGCGGUGUGUUGUUCUCGCCUCCCCCGGUUAACGAUAAAACGCUGGCUGCGGGAGCAGGGCGCCAUCUCCUUCCUCCUCUUCCUUGGUCGCAGCAGGGGCCUCGUCCGAGAGACCUUCGUGGUGAACAAGAUGGGGCUCACCUUCACGAGGUUGUUCAGCCGGCUCUUUGCGAAGAAGGAGAUGAGGAUCUUGAUGGUUGGGCUCGACGCGGCCGGUAAAACGACGAUCUUGUACAAGCUCAAGCUCGGAGAGAUAGUUACCACCAUCCCCACUAUUGGAUUCAAUGUGGAGACUGUAGAGUACAAGAACAUUAGUUUUACUGUUUGGGAUGUUGGUGGUCAAGAUAAGAUCAGACCUCUGUGGAGGCACUACUUCCAGAACACUCAGGGCCUUAUUUUUGUUGUAGACAGCAAUGACAGAGACCGUAUUAUCGAGGCAAGGGAUGAACUCCACAGGAUGCUUAAUGAGGAUGAGUUACGUGAUGCAGUUUUGCUUGUGUUUGCAAAUAAGCAAGAUCUUCCAAAUGCAAUGAAUGCAGCUGAAAUUACUGAUAAGCUUGGCCUGCAUUCCCUGCGUCACCGACACUGGUAUAUUCAGAGCGCAUGUGCUACAUCUGGUGAAGGUUUGUACGAGGGGCUGGAUUGGCUCUCCAACAAUAUCGUCACCAAGGAUGCUAAAUGAACUCAAGCAAUACACAAGAGUUGGAUUGGACAUAGCUUUGGGAGACCGGUGCCCAAGUAUCUCUGAUUUGAACAGGACUUGAGGUUCACAGUGAUACAAACAGGCUUGAAACUUGUAGCAAGGAACAUACUGCUUGGUCAGAUUUAUGCCUUAGCGGCAUGAACUUGUCCGUCGUGGUCCAGUUCUGUUGACAUUAGUGCUAUAAUUUUUUUUCUUUUUUCUGUAGUAUUAGUAAUAAUAGCCCGACUUGUAAGAUAAAAGGUUGAGAAAGAUGCUGCGUGGUUGUAUGGUGUGCUAAUAUGAUUAUGAUCAAUCUGUGUUUGAUGUUCUAAUUGAUCA
Molecule: RNA transcript, 1061 nt
Organism: Musa acuminata AAA Group (dessert banana)
Lineage: Eukaryota; Viridiplantae; Streptophyta; Magnoliopsida; Zingiberales; Musaceae
Gene name: ADP-ribosylation factor 1-like
Exons: 8
Source: RefSeq, a predicted model, not a curated record